This 73-nucleotide transfer RNA is filed under the name Hoplopleura akanezumi. Its description in RNAcentral is "tRNA-Thr". The record is from RNAcentral. Lineage: Eukaryota; Metazoa; Arthropoda; Insecta; Psocodea; Hoplopleuridae.
GCUCUCGCAGUUACUGCUAACAUUAAUUUUGUAAUUUAAAAAAGACUUCCUUGUGCAUUCAAGUCCUUGAGCU